GAUGAACGCUGGCGGCGUGCUUAACACAUGCAAGUCGAACGAAGCACCUUGAUUUGAUUCUUCGGAUGAAGAUCUUGGUGACUGAGUGGCGGACGGGUGAGUAACGCGUGGGUAACCUGCCUCAUACAGGGGGAUAACAGGUAGAAAUGACUGCUAAUACCGCAUAAGACCACAGCACCGCAUGGUGCAGUGGUAAAAACUCCGGUGGUAUGGGAUGGACCCGCGUCUGAUGAGGUAGUCGGUGGGGUAACGGCCUACCAAGCCGACGAUCAGUAGCCGACCUGUGAGGGUGACCCGCCACAUUGGGACUGAGACACGGCCCAAACUCCUACGGGAGGCAGGCGUGGGGAAUAUUGCACAAUGGGGGAAACCCUGAUGCAGCGACGCCUCGUGAGCGAUGAAGUAUUUCGGUAUGUAAAGCUCUAUCAGCAGGGAAGACAAUGACGGUACCUGACGAAGAAGCACCGGCUAAAUACGUG
RNAcentral lists this ribosomal RNA (479 nucleotides) under uncultured bacterium. RNAcentral's name for it is "partial 16S ribosomal RNA". It matches the Rfam family "Bacterial small subunit ribosomal RNA", at positions 28 to 507 of the family's 1533-position model. The record is from RNAcentral.